Molecule: ribosomal RNA, 450 nt
Filed under: uncultured Dietzia sp.
Lineage: Bacteria; Bacillati; Actinomycetota; Actinomycetes; Mycobacteriales; Dietziaceae
Description: bacterial SSU rRNA
Rfam family: Bacterial small subunit ribosomal RNA
Source: RNAcentral
UUUCCUACGGGGGGCUGCAGUGGGGAAUAUUGCACAAUGGGCGGAAGCCUGAUGCAGCGACGCCGCGUGGGGGAUGACGGUCUUCGGAUUGUAAACUCCUUUCAGUAGGGACGAAGCGAGAGUGACGGUACCUGCAGAAGAAGCACCGGCCAACUACGUGCCAGCAGCCGCGGUAAUACGUAGGGUGCGAGCGUUGUCCGGAAUUACUGGGCGUAAAGAGCUCGUAGGCGGUUUGUCACGUCGUCUGUGAAAUCCUCCAGCUCAACUGGGGGCGUGCAGGCGAUACGGGCUGACUUGAGUACUACAGGGGAGACUGGAAUUCCUGGUGUAGCGGUGAAAUGCGCAGAUAUCAGAAGGAACACCGGUGGCGAAGGCGGGUCUCUGGGUAGUAACUGACGCUGAGGAGCGAAAGCAUGGGGAGCAAACAGGAUUAGAUACCCGAGUAGUCAA